GCCGAGGCCCGCCAUGCCGCGCUCGGCCUCGGAUCCGCGGCCGCGCGGCCGGCGGGCCAGCUCCCCUCCCGCGGUCUCCCCAGCCACACCGCGCCUCCGAGGGGCCACUUGUGCAGCCCAAGGAGACGGCAGGCUGGGUUGUAAGAAAGCCCUCUUGGCACCUCGGUGUUUCCUCUCACGUUUCCCAUUGCCGGGGCCAUGUAGCCGUGACUGCGAGGCCCACUGUGAGGGCCGGCGCUGAAAAUCCCCGACACACUGACACAUGUGAAUCAUGGACAUCUUGGAAAGGCCUCAGAACGCGGCUGACACACUGAAAUUUCACCCAUAAUGAGCUGAGGCAAGACUGGUCGAGUUGGAAAGAGAGACUCUUUUCAAUGUGACUGCUGAAAUGAAGGGAGGAAGUCCACAAUUUUUUAUUGCCUUCUUAUCAUCGUGAGGAAAAAGCCAGCCCAAGAAUGGAGCCAGCUGGGAGGGAAGCAGAACCAAAAGAUCUCAAGCACGAGACCAAGUCCUGAUGACAUUGUUUAUGCUCCUUGAUGCAGAACUUGAUCUGCACCUCCUGACUUAUCCGUCUUGUGGCUGCCCCUGGAUUGCACAUGUUUGCACCCUUUGGAAGAUCCAGAAAUCCACAUGUUGAACAUGAAUCUAGGGCUGCGGUUGCUGCACAGGCUCAUCUCUAGGACCACCCCCUCUCACCCUCACCAUCUGUUCUACUUACUACUCUACCCUCCAGUCCUAGGGAACUACUUGAAUUCUCCAGCAGCUUCAGCAUGCCAUAUUCUUUGAACCCAGCAUCUUCUGAGAAGCCUUUCCUGCCGCCCCUGUGAGCCUCAGUAGCAUCCAGUGUGGACCAACUGGAGCUGGACAGGAGGGAAUAUACAAGAUACUGCAACGGAACCACCUUAAGAGGAUUCUAUUGCCGAUCCUGUCCGUUUCAAUGUGAAGUUAAACAAGAAGUGAUUUGUGAGCCUGUUUACCUCUCCCAAUAGAAUGGAAAGAGUCACAUUUGCUGUGUUUGCUGUAUUCCCUCUUCCCCCUAGGACUGAGCUGAGGCCUGUUUGUUUCUCAGCAGAACCUGCAGAGGAAAUCCCAGGAUUGAGGGAGAAGAAUAGAAACUAUUUUAUUCUGCAGUUGUUGGGUAUUCCUUUGACCCUUUUCUCCUGCAAAAUGUGGUGACUUGUGUGCUGGGUAGUGUAAAAUUCCUCCAUUGUUCAGGCCCAGGUAAAGGAAGAAGCACAGAUGCACACAAGGAUGACGCGUGUUCAAAGGCAUGUAUUUCUUCUGGGCAAUAAUUUGUUUUUAUCUUUUGAGACUAUGUAGGUAUUUAUGUUCACAAAUGAAGAGUUUACAAAGCUGACCCCUCUAUAGUUUUUAAAUGUAAUUUUUGUUAAAAUGCCAACAAUUCAUUAUAUUUUAAAAAUUAAUUAUUGAACCUCUAAUAACUUAAUUUGUAAUCAUUAGGCCUAAUAGUCAUGGAGGGAUCACGGAAGGGAGUAGGGUGAUAGAUUGAGGCAGGGUAGCACUGUGGUAAAGCAGUGGGCUCUGGAGACCUGCUGUGUGGCCUUAAGCAAGUUACUUGGCUUCUCUGUGGUUCAGUUUUCUAAUCUGUGGAAAUAGGAAACAAUAAACAUCUACUUCACAGAGUUUGUUAUGGGGAAUAAAUGUGUUAAUUUAUGCACGUGCUUACAUCCGUGUCUGACAUUUAGCUAAUACUUACUGAGCACUUUCUAUUGGGUUGGCCCAAAACUUCAUUCCGGUUUUUGGAUAUUACAGAAAAACCAGAACAAACUUUUGGGCCAACCCAAUAUGAUAUUUUGGUCACUUAUUUAUCUUUAAAGCACCCGCUUGUCUUUAACUACUUCUAAAGAAGUACCAACCAUGUCUGUUUACUUGCCUUUCUCCCUGCUAGACUCUGAAUUCCUUUAGCCAUCUUUGUAUCCCUAGCACUUACUCUGCAGGAAACGUCCAUAAUUAUCUCUUGAGUGAAUUAAUGAAUAAAUGGUAAUGAACUACUGCUUCUUCCUGCUUUCUCCUUCCUCAUGGAAGAAUGAAAAAGGAGUGUGAGUUCUGCCACGGUGUAUGAUUACUCUCUGGGGGAUGUCCGACCACAGCAAUUAAGAAUUCACAAAGAUGAUUAAUUUUACACGGCUGUGCUAGUAAAAUAACUUUGAUAGGCUCAUUGAAUGGAAAUUUCCCUAAAGGGUCAUAGAAGCCAUCUUCCUGCUUUUGGGCAGGUGGUUCUAAUAUAAUGUAGGAAUGUUAGCUGUGUACUAUUUCUAAUAAAUCUCCAAGAGAGAAUUCCUUCUCUUCCUUGGUGCUAAUAUAUAAUAAUUUAGUGGCCUAUAUCUCUUAGAUAGGAACAUCAAUGGGUAGUUUUAAAGGCAUUAAAGAUUUAGGUGAAGUACAAUGAAAAUGAAUGUCAGACUUUGGAAUGAAUUCUCAUUCAAGUAGCUGUCUUUCCUGCUUCAGAGAUUCUUUGAAAAUAAAGCUUGAUAAGUAUCAAUCCUGUGUGGUUUAACUGGAAUCCUGUCUAAGAAGAGGUCUGUUGAUACAUCAGUUGAUGUUCCUUCAUCCGGUCUUUACUGAGUGCCUUCUCUAUGCUAGGCACCAUGCUCAGGGCUGGGCUAUAGUAGUGUGUACUG
Long non-coding RNA from Hippopotamus amphibius kiboko, 2642 nucleotides. RefSeq lists it as uncharacterized. The transcript has 6 exons. Lineage: Eukaryota; Metazoa; Chordata; Mammalia; Artiodactyla; Hippopotamidae. The record is from RefSeq and is a predicted model, not a curated record.